This 350-nucleotide ribosomal RNA is filed under the name uncultured bacterium. Its description in RNAcentral is "bacterial SSU rRNA". It matches the Rfam family "Bacterial small subunit ribosomal RNA", at positions 527 to 881 of the family's 1533-position model. The record is from RNAcentral.
GUAGGUGGCGAGCGUUAUCCGGAAUGAUUGGGCGUAAAGGGUGCGUAGGUGGCAGAACAAGUCUGGAGUAAAAGGUAUGGGCUCAACCCGUACUGGCUCUGGAAACUGUUCAGCUAGAGAACAGAAGAGGACGGCGGAACUCCAUGUGUAGCGGUAAAAUGCGUAGAUAUAUGGAAGAACACCGGUGGCGAAGGCGGCCGUCUGGUCUGUUGCUGACACUGAAGCACGAAAGCGUGGGGAGCAAAUAGGAUUAGAUACCUUAGUAGUCCACGCCGUAAACGAUGAGAACUAGGUGUUGGGGGAAUAACUCAGUGCCGCAGUUAACGCAAUAAGUAAUCCACCUGGGGAGU